UCAGAUGCCUCUCCGUGUGGCCCCAACACCUGUCUUUAUUACACUAUAUAUAUAACAAAAGUAACACACACACAUGAAUACAUACUCUGUACUUGCAGCAUCAUUGUCUUGAUACAUAUCUUGAUAUCUAUACACUCUUACAAAUGGCCGAUCAGCUCACCGAUGAUCAGAUCUCCGAGUUCAAGGAGGCUUUCAGCCUGUUCGACAAGGAUGGCGAUGGUUGUAUCACUACCAAGGAGCUUGGAACAGUGAUGAGGUCCUUGGGACAGAAUCCAACAGAGGCUGAGCUUCAAGAUAUGAUCAAUGAGGUUGAUGCCGAUGGGAAUGGGACAAUAGAUUUUCCAGAGUUUCUCAACUUGAUGGCAAGAAAGAUGAAGGACACGGACUCUGAGGAAGAGCUCAAGGAGGCAUUUCGGGUGUUUGAUAAGGACCAAAAUGGCUUCAUCUCUGCAGCCGAGCUUCGACAUGUUAUGACAAACCUUGGGGAGAAGCUGACUGAUGAAGAAGUCGAUGAGAUGAUUCGCGAGGCCGAUGUGGACGGUGAUGGGCAAAUCAACUAUGAGGAGUUCGUCAAGGUCAUGAUGGCUAAAAAAAGGUACUCUUUUUGGUGGAGGAAUAUUUAAUGUUGGGGGAACAUGAGUUGAGAACUUUGCCAGUGCAGAAUCAUUCGAAACAUAGAGGUGAUAACGGAUGCGACUUUAGAUGAUUGAGAAGAGAAGGAAAAUGAGAAGUGAUUCCAACUGAAAUCUGCUUAGAAUCGUGGAGACUUUUGCAUAAGGAGAAUGAGCAUGAGAUAUGAUGACAGCAUAAAGUUCAGAAAAAUCUCAAAGAAGCGCCCAUUUCGUAUACGAAGAAUUCUUAUGGGUCGGAUUCAUAUGGAUCGUUCCUGCACCAUCCUUUAAUCAGCCAUCAUCCCCCAUUAGGCAUUCCUGUCAUCAAUAAAUUUGGUAUUCUCUAUUAUCUAUGUAUAAAAAGGAGCACCGUUGAAGAGAAACAGCCCUUCACAAUUACAUUUGUUACAACUUAAUGUACUAAUGUCAGAUGAUAUGUAGUAAUUGUGUAUACUUCAGAUCAAGUCUUCUGCAAUGAAUGAUAUGUCAAUUCAGCUGCUUUGUAUUCGAAUGUAUUAUGUACGCAUAUUUCACAUGAAUAUCAGUGCCUGGAAAGUGUGCAAGCGUUAAAAUGUUGA
Daucus carota subsp. sativus is the source of this 1189-nucleotide RNA transcript. It is a transcript of the gene named calmodulin-7, with no coding region annotated. Lineage: Eukaryota; Viridiplantae; Streptophyta; Magnoliopsida; Apiales; Apiaceae. The record is from RefSeq and is a predicted model, not a curated record. The transcript is spliced from 5 exons.